RNAcentral lists this antisense RNA (69 nucleotides) under Amycolatopsis tolypomycina. RNAcentral describes it as "ASpks TB sRNA". It matches the Rfam family "ASpks TB sRNA". Lineage: Bacteria; Bacillati; Actinomycetota; Actinomycetes; Pseudonocardiales; Pseudonocardiaceae. The record is from RNAcentral.
CUUCACCGACCCCAGCCACAGCGGCUCGUCACGAUCCUGGCCGUAGGUGGCGAGCAGCGCCUGCGCUUC